AUGAACGCUGGCGGCGUGCCUCAUACAUGCAAGUCGAGCGAACGGACGAGAAGCUUGCUUCUCUGAUGUUAGCGGCGGACGGGUGAGUAACACGUGGAUAACCUACCUAUAAGACUGGGAUAACUUCGGGAAACCGGAGCUAAUACCGGAUAAUAUUUUGAACCGCAUGGUUCAAAAGUGAAAGACGGUCUUGCUGUCACUUAUAGAUGGAUCCGCGCUGCAUUAGCUAGUUGGUAAGGUAACGGCUUACCAAGGCAACGAUGCAUAGCCGACCUGAGAGGGGUCUCGGCCCCCCGGGACACGGGCCCCGUCCCAGCCCCCCCGGGGGGGCAGCAGUGGGGAAUCUUCCGCAAUGGGCGAAAGCCUGACGGGGCAACCCCGCGGGAGUGAUGAAGGUCUUCGGUUCGUAAAACUCUUUUAUUAGGGAAGAACAUUUUUUUAAGUACCUGUGCCCCUUUUGACGGUCCCUAAUCAAAAAGCCCCGGCUAACUACGU
RNAcentral lists this ribosomal RNA (495 nucleotides) under uncultured bacterium. RNAcentral's name for it is "partial 16S ribosomal RNA". It matches the Rfam family "Bacterial small subunit ribosomal RNA", at positions 29 to 506 of the family's 1533-position model. The record is from RNAcentral.